CUGAGCCAAAGUCGGACACUUAACUGACUGAGCCUCCUGAAAGAGUUCAGCGGGCACACACCUUGAGAACAACUGCAACGCUCUUGAAGACAACUCAACACCACACUCAGACGUGGUCCCAAAAUUGUCAUUACCUCCCAUCCAUUUGCAAAGGGACCAUUAAUGUUUCCAAGAAUAUAACUAUUUUAUGUUUCAAUGUUUAAAUUGUUUUCCCAUAAGUGCUCUUCUCCCCUCCCCCUUCACCUAAGAAGAUGGUACAUAAACCCAAAUUCUAACUGCCCCUUAAAUCACAUUAUCUUUGUCAAGGCCCAUAUGUACAUAAUAUGAUUAAAAUCUGUCCUUUCUCCUGCUAAGCUGUUAGUAUGAGUUUAAUUUGCAGGCCUCCAGGCAAGGAACCUAAGAAAGAAGAGGGAAAGUUUUUCCUCUCCAACACUCUUUUGAUUUUCCUCCUGUUCUACAGAUCUACAAUAUUUAAUAGGGGACUAGACAUUGACAUCUCUGCAUCUGCUAGACACAUUUCUAAUACAACUGGUCAGAUAUGAACUCAUCUUUCCCUCGUACCUACUCUCUAUUACAGCUUUUAUAGUUACUUGGGUUUCCAUGUUUGGAGUCAGGUCAGAGCAAGACUGUGUUAGAAACGCAUGUGUUCUGCCCACACCCUCACAGAGCGCCCCUCUGCUGUUGCUCUGGCCACACCAACUUCUAACGGUGCGCCGUGAUCCUGGGCUUUGCAGCAUUCAUGAGGUUCUGCGACCUGCUGAAGACUCAGCCAGCCACAGCCCUCAAUUUGCAUGAGGCUGUGAGAAAAAACAAGUCUUUGAAGAAGCCAGGCUGCCUGAGUGGGCCCGUGUGGAACAGGAAGAGAACAGUGCUUACGGCACGGAGCUGUGCCCCAUCUUAUUCUGACACCAUGCUGGGUACAAGAGCCAGAGCCUCGGAUGGGCAGACAUGGAAACAGUUUCUUAUUUGCAUAGAGCUUGGCCCCCGCAAGGGUGAGCUGAGGACACGCCGAAUUGCCUUCUUGGCAAAGGCAGGAAGUCAGCUGCAAGGAGCUACCACUUUUCAACCCUGGGUGGCUUUUCCUUUUCUGUCAUUCGUUUUGGAAGAAAACAUACAUUUAAUUUCAAACAGAGCACAAGAACUUGGAAGAGGAGGGGAGAGAAGGCAGC
RNAcentral lists this long non-coding RNA (1169 nucleotides) under Suricata suricatta (meerkat). Its description in RNAcentral is "lncRNA (ENSSSUG00005010218.1)". The record is from RNAcentral. Lineage: Eukaryota; Metazoa; Chordata; Mammalia; Carnivora; Herpestidae.